CCUACGGGUGGCUGCAGUGGGGAAUAUUGGACAAUGGGCGAAAGCCUGAUCCAGCCAUGCCGCGUGUGUGAAGAAGGCCUUCGGGUUGUAAAGCACUUUCAGUGGGGAAGAAAGCCUUGGGGCUAAUACCCUCGAGGAAGGACAUCACCCACAGAAGAAGCACCGGCUAACUCCGUGCCAGCAGCCGCGGUAAUACGGAGGGUGCGAGCGUUAAUCGGAAUUACUGGGCGUAAAGCGCGCGUAGGCGGUCUGAUAAGCCGGUUGUGAAAGCCCCGGGCUCAACCUGGGAACGGCAUCCGGAACUGUCAGGCUAGAGUGCAGGAGAGGAAGGUAGAAUUCCCAGUGUAGCGGUGAAAUGCGUAGAGAUCGGGAGGAAUACCAGUGGCGAAGGCGGCCUUCUGGACUGACACUGACGCUGAGGUGCGAAAGCGUGGGUAGCAAACAGGAUUAGAUACCCCAGUAGUC
RNAcentral lists this ribosomal RNA (465 nucleotides) under Vreelandella stevensii. Its description in RNAcentral is "partial 16S ribosomal RNA". It matches the Rfam family "Bacterial small subunit ribosomal RNA", at positions 338 to 795 of the family's 1533-position model. The record is from RNAcentral. Lineage: Bacteria; Pseudomonadati; Pseudomonadota; Gammaproteobacteria; Oceanospirillales; Halomonadaceae.